CUGCCUUACACAGGGGGACAACAGUUAGAAAUGACUGCUAAUACCGCAUAAGCGCACGGGAACGCAUGUUUCUGUGUGAAAAACUCCGGUGGUGUAAGAUGGGCCCGCGUUGGAUUAGGUAGUUGGUGAGGUAACGGCUCACCAAGCCGACGAUCCAUAGCCGACCUGAGAGGGUGACCGGCCACAUUGGGACUGAGACACGGCCCAAACUCCUACGGGAGGCAGCAGUGGGGAAUAUUGCACAAUGGGCGCAAGCCUGAUGCAGCGACGCCGCGUGAGCGAAGAAGUAUUUCGGUAUGUAAAGCUCUAUCAGCAGGGAAGAAAAUGACGGUACCUGACUAAGAAGCUCCGGCUAAAUACGUGCCAGCAGCCGCGGUAAUACGUAUGGAGCAAGCGUUAUCCGGAAUUACUGGGUGUAAAGGGAGCGUAGACGGAUGUGCAAGUCUGAUGUGAAAGGCGGGGGCUCAACCCCUGGACUGCAUUGGAAACUGUAAAUCUUGAGUGCCGGAGAGGUAAGCGGAAUUCCUAGUGUAGCGGUGAAAUGCGUAGAUAUUAGGAGGAACACCAGUGGCGAAGGCGGCUUACUGGACGGUAACUGACGUUGAGGCUCGAAAGCGUGGGGAGCAAACAGGAUUAGAUACCCUGGUAGUCCACGCGGUAAAC
RNAcentral lists this ribosomal RNA (663 nucleotides) under uncultured bacterium. Its description in RNAcentral is "bacterial SSU rRNA". It matches the Rfam family "Bacterial small subunit ribosomal RNA", at positions 126 to 807 of the family's 1533-position model. The record is from RNAcentral.